GUGGGGAAGAGGAAGAAAGGGAGCAUGUAAGAUCAGUGGGAAUAGGAACAUUGAGGGAAUCCUAUAGCUCAAUUUUCGUUCCUAUAUUGGAGGUAACAAUUUGUUUUGUGUUUCCCUAGUGCCUCAUAUUUCUAUCGUUAUUAGGUACUACCUCCUCUUCCUUUUGUCU
This 169-nucleotide microRNA precursor is filed under the name Triticum aestivum (bread wheat). RNAcentral describes it as "MIR2118 microRNA precursor family". It matches the Rfam family "MIR2118 microRNA precursor family". Lineage: Eukaryota; Viridiplantae; Streptophyta; Magnoliopsida; Poales; Poaceae. The record is from Rfam by way of RNAcentral.